CUGCUCAUUUGAGAAUAAAUGCUUCACUUGUAGAUCACUCGAACAGGCUAGAACAAAGACCAUUUAACCAAUUAAUCAAAAUUACAGGACACUCAAACUUUUUGACGUGCAACUUUAGGUUGCUUUUUAAACAACGGAAAAGAGUAUAAAUUUCCCAUUGCAGUGCAAAUACUAGAAUGCUCUUUAAGCACACUUUAGCACUUUAGAUCAAUGAAACUUACCAAUUGAAAAUGUGCAUUUACUUACUAGAUCAAUGUGAAAAAAAGAUGAAACUUUUCUUGGCUCCAUGAGACACAUCUUGAGACAAACAUUGGAUACUGCUGGAACAUUACUAGCUGGUUAAAAGAUGCCAUCUAAGUAAGUAAAUCUGGUCUGAGCCCUGACAUCGGACACCCAAUAACCUCGAGCAGACAUGGCUGAAGGCCCAAAGAAUUCCUUCAUCGCAAACACGCAUGAAGAUAGCAGCAGAUAAAGGCAUCUCAAACACUGAGGAUGACAAGGCAGCAAUUUAACUCUAUUAUAAGAGAGGAUAUCUCACUUUAAAACAUUUUAGGCUUUGCUAAUAAAAACCUGAUGAGAAGCUGAAGACAGUGUCUUAAAUGCAGCCAAAACAACAUAUUUGCGGUGCAUUGGUUUAACCCUGUAGUUACCCUAAAGCCAUUUUCUGUUCAGUAAUUUGGGCAGAAUUUAAGUGGCUCCAAAAUAGGCACUAAUGAAAACAAAGGACUGGGUCUGAAGAUGGGUUUCGGCCCGAAACGUUGCCUAUUUCCUUCGCUCCAUAGAUGCUGCUGCACCCGCUGAGUUUCGCCAGCAUUUUUGUCUACCUUAGAUUUUCCAGCAUCAGCAGUUCCUUCGUAAACACUAAUAAAAACACCCAUUCUUUGCUUACUUAGACUUCACUGUGCUUUUGCUACUUUUAUUACCAUUCUCCCAUUGGUAACGCACACUCUCACUGAAACAGUUGUGCAUGAGAAGGCACUAAAUUCAUUUAAAUGGAAACACAUGAAAUGCACUGCUGUAAUUUUUGACAGAGAUUCAUGGAAAUUUACUACAACAGAGCUCUCGUGUUAUUUGUUUGACGUUUGUGGAGGGGGACAGGAUGGAAAUAGGUGUGUUAUAUGUGAGAUUGGUAACAUAUUAGAACAUCAGGCCAUGCUUCAGUUUGUACUGAGAGCAGAAGUUUGCACUGAACUGUGGACCAGUUCAUGGACUGUUUGCUGUGAUGUAAUGCCCCUGUCCCACUUAGGAAAUAUGAACGGAAACCUCUGGAGACUUUGCGCCCCACCCAAGGUUUCCGUGCGGUUCCCGGAGGUUCCCGGAGGUUUUUGUCAGUCUCCCUACCUGCUUCCACUACCUGCAACCUCUGGCAACCACUUGCAACCUCC
Long non-coding RNA from Leucoraja erinaceus (little skate), 1385 nucleotides. RefSeq lists it as uncharacterized. The transcript is spliced from 3 exons. The record is from RefSeq and is a predicted model, not a curated record. Lineage: Eukaryota; Metazoa; Chordata; Chondrichthyes; Rajiformes; Rajidae.